This 587-nucleotide ribosomal RNA is filed under the name uncultured deep-sea bacterium. Its description in RNAcentral is "bacterial SSU rRNA". It matches the Rfam family "Bacterial small subunit ribosomal RNA", at positions 8 to 569 of the family's 1533-position model. The record is from RNAcentral.
AGAGUUUGAUCCUGGCUCAGAACGAACGCUGGCGGCGUGCCUAACACAUGCAAGUCGUGCGAGAAAGUUUCCUUCGGGAAGCGAGUAAAGCGGCGCACGGGUGAGUAACACGUGGGUAACCUACCCUAGAGUCUGGGAUAACCAGGGGAAACCCUAGCUAAUACCGGAUGAUCCCUUAGAGCCUUCGGGUUCUUUGGAGAAAGAUGGCCUCUUCUUGAAAGCUAUCGCUCUUGGAUGGGCCCGCGGCCCAUUAGCUUGUUGGUGAGGUAAAAGCUCACCAAGGCUUUGAUGGGUAGCUGAUCUGAGAGGAUGAUCAGUCACACUGGAACUGAGACACGGUCCAGACUCCUACGGGAGGCAGCAGUGGGGAAUUUUGGGCAAUGGGGGAAACCCUGACCCAGCAACGCCGUGUGCAGGAUGAAGGCCCUCGGGUCGUAAACUGCUGUCAGAGGGGAAGAAAUGCCUUGCGGCCAAUACCCGCAGGGUUUGACGGUACCCUCAAAGGAAGCGCCGGCUAACUCCGUGCCAGCAGCCGCGGUAAUACGGAGGGCGCAAGCGUUGUUCGGAAUUACUGGGCGUAAAGCGCG